CCUAGUAACGGCGAGUGAAGCGGCAACAGCUCAAAUUUGAAAGCUAGCCUUCGGGUUCGCAUUGUAAUUUGUAGAGGAUGAUUUGGGGAAGCCGCCUGUCUAAGUUCCUUGGAACAGGACGUCAUAGAGGGUGAGAAUCCCGUAUGUGACAGGAAAUGGCACCCUAUGUAAAUCUCCUUCGACGAGUCGAGUUGUUUGGGAAUGCAGCUCUAAAUGGGAGGUAAAUUUCUUCUAAAGCUAAAUAUUGGCGAGAGACCGAUAGCGCACAAGUAGAGUGAUCGAAAGAUGAAAAGCACUUUGGAAAGAGAGUUAAAAAGCACGUGAAAUUGUUGAAAGGGAAGCGCUUGCAAUCAGACUUGUUUAAACUGUUCGGCCGGUCUUCUGACCGGUUUACUCAGUUUGGACAGGCCAGCAUCAGUUUCGGCGGCCGGAUAAAGGCUCUGGGAAUGUGGCCUCCACUUCGGUGGAGGUGUUAUAGCCCAGGGUGUAAUACGGCCAGCCGGGACUGAGGUCCGCGCUUCGGCUAGGAUGCUGGC
RNAcentral lists this ribosomal RNA (536 nucleotides) under Aureobasidium proteae. RNAcentral describes it as "eukaryotic LSU rRNA". It matches the Rfam family "Eukaryotic large subunit ribosomal RNA", at positions 79 to 630 of the family's 3401-position model. The record is from RNAcentral. Lineage: Eukaryota; Fungi; Ascomycota; Dothideomycetes; Dothideales; Saccotheciaceae.